CUAUUCCCGGAAAGGGGGAAACGAUUUGGGGUGGGCAGUCCUGGAGCCUCUCGCUGGCCUUACGGAGAGAGAGCUAGGGUGGAGGAGAGCCCUGGGGAGCAGGCAGAGGACAUUCUCUCUGGGACCCCUGAGCCCAUCUAACCUCCAGUCCGUCCAUCAACUGAUUACUGCUCAGUCACCUCAGACGAUGCCACUGGGAGCCAGAGAACUGCCUCGCUGAGCCCUGCCUGAAUGCCUGACUCAUAACUCAUGGUGUCAGUGAAAGUGAAUACCCAGCCACACCCAGCUGAAAUACCCAAAGUUGGAAAACACCACAAGAAAGCCAUGACAAAAACCAACCAAGCCAACAAGAGAGUCAUGUCCUCAGAGCCGAACUUCUCGUGUUCUCCUUCAUGCCCCCCCCCAUCCCCGUCUGCCAGCAUUGCCUCCAUGCCUGUGUUCUCUCCAUAUGUGAUCUCACAGCUCCAGAGACCCCCAGCGACGGAGAUUGUCAUCUGCUUGUCUUUAGUCCCGUCUCUUAUCAGAGCUUCAGAUCCUACAUCCAGUUGCUGUCUGAACAUCUUCACUUGGGAUCCCUGGAGGCACCUGGAAUUAGAGUGCCUGAGACCAAGUGGGCCCUUGGGAGUUUCAGCCUGGCACACACAUGAGAGCAUCUGCAGAAGCACUGGUGUAUUUUAAUUGUUUCUCUCCUCUCUCUCUGCCUCCCCUCAUUAGACAGAACAGAUCAUAUGCAUUGGUUUUGAGUUUCUUUAUCUUCAACAAGGGGGUUACAGUCUCCUUCUUCAGUUCUUCCUGGUGUCUCCAGAGAAGUGGCUCUCAAACUGGAGCAUGCACCAGAAUCACCUAGAAGGUGCUGAAACACAAAUUGGUGGGCAUCACCCCAGGUCUCAGGUUCAGCAGAUCUGGGCUGGGUCCUGAGAAUUGGAAUGUCUAAUAGAUUUCCAGUUCUGGGGACCACACUUUGAGAACCACCAUUUUUUGAGGAUCAGAUCAAACACUUGAAGAAAGAACUUCCCUCAGCUUAGAGCUAAAUAGAACAUUUGCAUGGACUUCCCCGGCCCCCUUAAGUUCUCUUGAGGCCCCUGCAGGCCUCUAAGGAGUAUCAGCCAUAGAACAUCCAUCCUGGGUGAGGAUGGGCCCAGCAUUCGAUAUCUCUCAGCUUAACAGGAAAAGAGAGAAGAUGGCAGAACAAAUCAUCAAACGAUCAAUUUAUAAUCGCCUAGGAGAGCAGCAGCUACACCGUAGCAAUCAAUACUCAAUGCAGACGUGACGAUUGAGAGAAUGAUUGAUCUCCCUUCAUCAGGACCAGCUCCCCUUGCAGCAGGGAGGGGCCCUUGUCCUCCAGGGGCAUAACUGAGAGCCCUCCAACUCUGCAUGCACUUCCUGAGCUCCAAAUGCACCAGGCACUGUGCUGAGUGCCAAGGUCAGAGACGACAGAGUCUGUCUUUGUCCCAGGCAUCUGGGGAGAGGUCAACAGACAUUCCACGUGGUGGGUGCUGAAAGGCUGCACUUGUCCUGAGCACCAAGUGUGUGCCAGGCCCUUAUUCACAGCCAUUUCCUCACCUGUGUUUGCAGAAGCCUGUGAAGGGGGUGCCUUUAUCCGCAUUUUGUAGGUGAGGAACUGAGCAGGCCACACGUUUCUGGCCAGCGCAGGGGAUACAAGUGCUGUCUAUAAAGAACUUACAGUUUAUUUAAAGACGCAAAUCUAUGACACAGAGUAAAAUAAUUGCCCGAGGUUUGCCUGGACUGGACAGGCCAGCCUCGGAGCACUCCCAGCCUGGCUGAAGUUGAGUCCCUGGAUUGAGGGGAACGGCGCAGUGGAGCACCCGCCCUGGGAAUGGGUGGGAGCCUUGCAGCGAGCAGGGCAGGGCGGACACCGCACCUGGCAUUCAGAAGGCACAUGAUCACUCAAAGUGCGGAGGAAUGUACUCACCUGUGAAGAGAAAUGGACAGCUGGCAUCUAAAUGGAAAUGUCCAACUGGGGUAUUGGCAGAAACAACUGCAGCUGAUCCAUUUUCUUGUGAGAAAAUUAGCAGGGUUCCCACCAGACAUGAUGAAUACAUCAAUUACAGCAGUCGGCCCUUAUCCAGGGGGGAUACGUUCCAAGACCCCGGUGGAAGCCUGAAACCACGGAUUGUACUGAACCCUAUAUUCACUGUUUUUCUAUGCACACACACCUAUGAUAAACCUUAAUUAAAGUAAAUUAGGGAUAAUAAAUGAAAACAAUAAUAAUAAAAUAUGACA
Molecule: long non-coding RNA, 2244 nt
Filed under: Piliocolobus tephrosceles (Ugandan red Colobus)
Lineage: Eukaryota; Metazoa; Chordata; Mammalia; Primates; Cercopithecidae
Description: lncRNA (ENSPTEG00000020906.1)
Source: RNAcentral